UACGAAGGGGGCUAGCGUUGCUCGGAAUCACUGGGCGUAAAGCGCACGUAGGCGGCUUCUUAAGUCAGGGGUGAAAUCCUGGAGCUCAACUCCAGAACUGCCUUUGAUACUGAGGAGCUCGAGUCCGGGAGAGGUGAGUGGAACUCCGAGUGUAGAGGUGAAAUUCGUAGAUAUUCGGAAGAACACCAGUGGCGAAGGCGGCUCACUGGCCCGGUACUGACGCUGAGGUGCGAAAGCGUGGGGAGCAGACAGG
RNAcentral lists this ribosomal RNA (253 nucleotides) under uncultured bacterium. RNAcentral's name for it is "partial 16S ribosomal RNA". It matches the Rfam family "Bacterial small subunit ribosomal RNA", at positions 524 to 776 of the family's 1533-position model. The record is from RNAcentral.